RNAcentral lists this long non-coding RNA (1376 nucleotides) under Anser brachyrhynchus (Pink-footed goose). RNAcentral's name for it is "lncRNA (ENSABRG00000009310.1)". Lineage: Eukaryota; Metazoa; Chordata; Aves; Anseriformes; Anatidae. The record is from RNAcentral.
UGCAAAUGGUGAGAGUAAUGGCUUUAAUUCACAGGAAAUGUUUAUAUGUUACUCAGACACAAACACAACUGAUAGACCACACAUUGGGAAGAUGUCUGCCUGGGAAAAACUCAUAGAUAUACCCUACAGCUGACGAGUGAGUUCCUAUAUUACAACGAAAGCUCAUGCAUUCUUUCUGGUCAUGGUUGAAGUUGUUGUUUGUGUUAAAUUAGCAAAAUCUUCUAAAAGAGAAGAUAUAGGAGAAAGAAAAGACAUACUGUUUAAGUAUGGGAGUGAGAAACAGUGGCCUGCACUUCAGUUUCCAUCAGUAAUGAUUAUUUGAUUUCUUUGUGCCUCAGUUACACAACUGCAAAAUGGAGAUGUUUGUUUUCUCUGUUCACUUGGUUUGGAAACAUCUCAAGAAGGAACAGAAGAGAGAAUUCUCCUCUCACCAUUAGGUAGUGAAACACUGUCACUGCCACCAUUUUACAGAAGGAGGAAUUGCAGCAGAGAAGCCAAAAGGUUUGCCCAAUGCCACAGAACAAAAUGGGGCAGGACCUCAGGUCUCUUCAGCCAGGACCACUCCAGCAAUGGCCAGACUCCGUCUGCACGGUUUCUUUCACAGCUGAGAGCUACAGGGCACACACUGGACGCCUCCAAGAGGCGUGAUGUCUGCUGUCCCCGCAUGGACCUGAUUUGUUUACUUCACUGGCGUAAUUUCAUUUCAUCCAAACUUCUAAUGAAAGCAAGUCUGUAACAUGAGGUUUGUGGUAGAGAUAAUAAUUUUGCGUCAUAGUGCAUCCCCUUGAAGAUGUGGAGUGUUUUCAGAAAUGUUAGUUUGCUCCCCUAUUUACGUCUUUCAUGCUCAUUUUUCAUUCAGUGGAUAGAGCUCUGUGGACUGCGAUAGUCGUGGAGACUCCUAGCUUUUCAGCAUGUUGCUGGUUGUGGCUACCAUCUAUAAAAAUAUGGGCUUGAGACCUGGUGGACGUACAGAGUUGAACUGUAGCUUACAUUGAAGACAGCCCAUUUGAUUUCAGUGAAGAUUCUAUCACAGUAGGAGACUGCUCAGCAUGAUGGUACCUGCUCUUCUUUGUAAGUUUCCAUUCUCACUUUUAGGUAACAAUCCUUAUCAGCAUAGGGAUAAGCAAACAUAAAUUGCCCAACAAAAUCAUUGCAUUCAUGAUCGCAGACAGUAAGUUGUAGUAGUGCCCUGACAGGACAAUUCAAUCCUAAGAAGAGAAAUAGAGACAAUUACAGCCCUCAAGUUAAAUUCCAUUGAACCUUUUGUAUAUGUCCUCUUCCUUUUCUGUGACAUCACGUGGAAGCAACUUCACAGGGUAUGUAUAUGACAAUAGAAUAUAACUCAAGCUUUAUAAUCUCUUAAAAAUUAAUUGUUA